UUGUGACGCUAACUUGUUGUUAGAAACGUUGAAGUGUGUUGGUGGGUACGCUGAAGUGCGAUGGUGGGUACGCUGAAGUGCGAUGGUCUAAUUUUGACGUUGUUUAUACUAGCUAAAUGCGACGGUCUGAAGUUGGAAUCCUAUUUGUGGAGGUGUAGUGGUUAGCGUGCUAGCCUCAUAUUUGACUGAUCUGGUUUUUAUUUCUGUUCAGGUUUA
Molecule: long non-coding RNA, 216 nt
Filed under: Mytilus galloprovincialis (Mediterranean mussel)
Lineage: Eukaryota; Metazoa; Mollusca; Bivalvia; Mytilida; Mytilidae
Source: RNAcentral